CAAUAGCGUAUAUUUAAGUUGUUGCAGUUAAAAAGCUCGUAGUCGGAUUUUGGCUGAGAACGAUCGGUCCGCCGUUAGGUGUGCACUGAUUGGUCUCAGCUUCCUGGUGAGGAGGUGUGCUUCACGGCCACUUAGUCACCGUGGUUACUUUGAAAAAAUUAGAGUGUUCAAAGCGGGCUUACGCUUGAAUAUAUUAGCAUGGAAUAGCACCAUAGGACUCCUGUCCUAUUUCGUUGGUCUCGGGACGGGAGUAAUGAUUAAGAGGAACAGUUGGGGGCAUUCGUAUUUCAUUGUCAGAGGUGAAAUUCUUGGAUUUAUGAAAGACGAACUUCUGCGAAAGCAUUUGCCAAGGAUGUUUUCAUUGA
RNAcentral lists this ribosomal RNA (365 nucleotides) under uncultured eukaryote. RNAcentral's name for it is "partial 18S ribosomal RNA". It matches the Rfam family "Eukaryotic small subunit ribosomal RNA", at positions 592 to 976 of the family's 1831-position model. The record is from RNAcentral.